GCUGCUCCUGACUCCGGGACGCGAGGCGGGCGCUCCGUGAAGCUCCAGCGCCUGCGGCUGCUGUUCUCCGGUGCCCGGGGCUGCGGCGCUCCGGAUCGCGGCCCCUGGCCCGGAACCGCUCGGAUCCCCAUCCCGCGCUCUGCCCUGGUGAACGCACGGUGCUGCUCGAGCCGCCCCGGGCUUGCACCCCCGGGCCAUGAAGAGCGGCCCGUGAGGGGCGCGCGGAGGCGGAGGAAGAGGAGGGAGGCCGAGGAGCAGGGCGCGGGAGGCGGAGGAUGCCGCCGCCGCCGCCGCCGCCGCCGCCACCCACGGGCCCCCGGCGAGCCUGACUCCAGAUCCGAGGAUGGAGCCGGCGCUGGGCGCUGCAGCGGCUCCCGGCGCGCCCCCGACCAGGUAGCCGGUGUCCUCUCUCAGAGUGGUCAGAAAAAGAAUUGCUCUUCCUGGUUGUCCUUCUGGAGCUGUCCUUUUGACCUGGAAUCCUGGGAUGACUUCACAACCCCCCAUCACUGAAUAAGUUGAAUUCUAAAAGCCUGCAGGCCACAGGGCUGCCACACAGACUCAGACCACUGGACUGCCACUGGCUGGGCCUAGGUAGCUGGCAGCUGAGACCGGCGUGGAACAGUCCCCUUUGGUAAGUGAGUUCUCUGGCAUUGCCUCCGCG
RNAcentral lists this long non-coding RNA (661 nucleotides) under Castor canadensis (American beaver). Its description in RNAcentral is "lncRNA (ENSCCNG00000007815.1)". Lineage: Eukaryota; Metazoa; Chordata; Mammalia; Rodentia; Castoridae. The record is from RNAcentral.